RNAcentral lists this ribosomal RNA (497 nucleotides) under uncultured bacterium. Its description in RNAcentral is "partial 16S ribosomal RNA". It matches the Rfam family "Bacterial small subunit ribosomal RNA", at positions 28 to 507 of the family's 1533-position model. The record is from RNAcentral.
GAUGAACGCUGGCGGCGUGCCUAAUACAUGCAAGUCGAGCGAACAGAUGAGGAGCUUGCUCCUCUGACGUUAGCGGCGGACGGGUGAGUAACACGUGGAUAACCUACCUAUAAGACUGGGAUAACUUCGGGAAACCGGAGCUAAUACCGGAUAAUAUAUUGAACUGCAUGGUUCAAUAGUGAAAGACGGUUUUGCUGUCACUUAUAGAUGGAUCCGCGCCGCAUUAGCUAGUUGGUAAGGUAACGGCUUACCAAGGCAACGAUGCGUAGCCGACCUGAGAGGGUGAUCGGCCACACUGGAACUGAGACACGGUCCAGACUCCUACGGGAGGCAGCAGUAGGGAAUCUUCCGCAAAGGGCGAAAGCCUGACGGAGCAACGCCGCGUGAGUGAUGAAGGUCUUCGGAUCGUAAAACUCUGUUAUUAGGGAAGAACAAAUGUGUAAGUAACUAUGCACGUCUUGACGGUACCUAAUCAGAAAGCCACGGCUAACUACGUG